CCUACGGGCGACAGCAGUGGGGAAUAUUGCACAAUGGGGGGAACCCUGAUGCAGCGACGCCGCGUGAGUGAAGAAGUAUUUCGGUAUGUAAAGCUCUAUCAGCAGGGAAGAAAAUGACGGUACCUGACUAAGAAGCACCGGCUAACUACGUGCCAGCAGCCGCGGUAAUACGUAGGGGGCAAGCGUUAUCCGGAUUUACUGGGUGUAAAGGGAGCGCAGACGGCUGUGCAAGUCUGGAGUGAAAGGCGGGGGCCCAACCCCCGGACUGCUCUGGAAACUGUAAAGCUGGAGUGCAGGAGAGGUAAGCGGAAUUCCUAGUGUAGCGGUGAAAUGCGUAGAUAUCAGGAGGAACACCGGCGGCGAAGGCGGCCUGCUGGACUGAAACUGACGUUGAGGCUCGAAAGCGUGGGGAGCAAACAGGAUUAGAUACCCGGGUAGUC
RNAcentral lists this ribosomal RNA (440 nucleotides) under uncultured bacterium. Its description in RNAcentral is "partial 16S ribosomal RNA". It matches the Rfam family "Bacterial small subunit ribosomal RNA", at positions 338 to 795 of the family's 1533-position model. The record is from RNAcentral.